This is a long non-coding RNA of Manis pentadactyla (Chinese pangolin), 804 nucleotides long. RefSeq lists it as uncharacterized. The transcript is spliced from 3 exons. Lineage: Eukaryota; Metazoa; Chordata; Mammalia; Pholidota; Manidae. The record is from RefSeq and is a predicted model, not a curated record.
GAAGGCCUGGAGCUCCGGGGUCCUCGCACCCGGCCCCCGUGGCAGCCGGCUGUCGCGGACCCAAGGGGCCGAGCGCGGAGCCCCACCAGGGGCUUCACCGACAGUGGUCACCCCGCUCCACUCUCCCCCACUUCGUGCAGUCCGGCCUAAUCUCUGGCUGGUGGAUUUGUGUUGCUAAACCAAGAGCGACGCCCCACGGCGCGCGCCCGAGUCACUGGUUUCUGCGGCUCUCCGGGAGGGCGUGGGCAGGGCUUGGGCCGCCUCCUUCCUCUCGGGCUCCCUAGCCCGCUGCGGCCUGGGGGACUGUUUAGGCGCGCCCCCUAAAUGACACUUUUUCACUUCCAUAGAGGAAGUUGACCCUGCUGGGACGGAUCCCUAGAAAAAUAAGCUUUAAUGGGGAGGGGAGGUGUGGAAUUACGUGUUCUGCGGCUGGGACUGCCGCAGCCAUAGGAUUCUUACAUUGUUCCUGAGGACAGGACACCACCAGGAGCUUUACUGCUUUGAAGAUGACUGGAUAGAUGUAAAUACAAAGAAGUUACUAUCCUAAUUCAACAGGCAAGGAGCUGGCAAUGCUUUCUCCUUCCUGGCCUUUCAGAAAAAAACUGCUUCUCCAGAGAUACCACCAGAUAUGGAGUCUACAUGAGCCAAACCAAGACCCUCAGGCGAUGCCAGGAAGAUGGGAUUCCAAUAAGUUUCAAGGACCUUCCCAUUUCUGCCCUAACACCCACAUUCCUUUGCCAGGAACAUAUAAAGCCAUCCCCUCCGCCAAUUGAGCAAGGCAGAUUUGGGAAAGGUACCCUGCCU